UGGUGCUUGCAUCAUGAUUUACAUUUGAGUGAGUGGCGAACUGGUGAGUAACACGUGGGAAACCUGCCCAGAAGCGGGGGAUAACACCUGGAAACAGAUGCUAAUACCGCAUAACAACUUGGACCGCAUGGUCCGAGUUUGAAAGAUGGCUUCGGCUAUCACUUUUGGAUGGUCCCGCGGCGUAUUAGCUAGAUGGUGAGGUAACGGCUCACCAUGGCAAUGAUACGUAGCCGACCUGAGAGGGUAAUCGGCCACAUUGGGACUGAGACACGGCCCAAACUCCUACGGGAGGCAGCAGUAGGGAAUCUUCCACAAUGGACGAAAGUCUGAUGGAGCAACGCCGCGUGAGUGAAGAAGGGUUUCGGCUCGUAAAACUCUGUUGUUAAAGAAGAACAUAUCUGAGAGUAACUGUUCAGGUAUUGACGGUAUUUAACCAGAAAGCCACGGCUAACUACGUGCCAGCAGCCGCGGUAAUACGUAGGUGGCAAGCGUUGUCCGGAUUUAUUGGGCGUAAAGCGAGCGCAGGCGGUUUUUUAAGUCUGAUGUGAAAGCCUUCGGCUCAACCGAAGAAGUGCAUCGGAAACUGGGAAACUUGAGUGCAGAAGAGGACAGUGGAACUCCAUGUGUAGCGGUGAAAUGCGUAGAUAUAUGGAAGAACACCAGUGGCGAAGGCGGCUGUCUGGUCUGUAACUGACGCUGAGGCUCGAAAGUAUGGGUAGCAAACAGGAUUAGAUACCCUGGUAGUCCAUACCGUAAACGAUGAAUGCUAAGUGUUUGGAGGGUUUCCGCCCUUCAGUGCUGCAGCUAACGCAUUAAGCAUUCCGCCUGGGGAGUACGGCCGCAAGGCUGAAACUCAAAGGAAUUGACGGGGGGCCCGCACAAGCGGUGGAGCAUGUGGUUUAAUUCGAAGCUACGCCGAAGAACCUUACCAGGUCUUGACAUACUAUGCAAAUCUAAGAAGAUUAGACGUUCCCUUCGGGGACAUGGAUACAGGUGGGUGCAUGGUUGUCCUCAGCUCCUGUCCUGGAAAAGUUUGGGUUAAUUCCCCCCACCAAGGGCACCCCUUAUUAUCAUUUGCCACCAUUAAAUUUGGCGACCCU
RNAcentral lists this ribosomal RNA (1100 nucleotides) under Lactiplantibacillus argentoratensis. RNAcentral's name for it is "bacterial SSU rRNA". It matches the Rfam family "Bacterial small subunit ribosomal RNA", at positions 62 to 1141 of the family's 1533-position model. The record is from RNAcentral. Lineage: Bacteria; Bacillati; Bacillota; Bacilli; Lactobacillales; Lactobacillaceae.